This 253-nucleotide ribosomal RNA is filed under the name uncultured bacterium. RNAcentral describes it as "partial 16S ribosomal RNA". It matches the Rfam family "Bacterial small subunit ribosomal RNA", at positions 524 to 776 of the family's 1533-position model. The record is from RNAcentral.
UACGGGGGGGGCAAGCGUUGUUCGGAAUUACUGGGCGUAAAGCGCACGUAGGCGGACCAGCAAGUUGGGGGUGAAAUCCCGGGGCUCAACCCCGGAACUGCCUUCAAAACUGCGGGUCUGGAGGUCGAGAGAGGUGAGUGGAAUUCCGAGUGUAGAGGUGAAAUUCGUAGAUAUUCGGAGGAACACCAGUGGCGAAGGCGGCUCACUGGCUCGAACCUGACGCUGAGGUGCGAAAGCGUGGGGAGCAAACAGG